This 659-nucleotide long non-coding RNA is filed under the name Homo sapiens (human). RNAcentral's name for it is "HSALNT0339073". Lineage: Eukaryota; Metazoa; Chordata; Mammalia; Primates; Hominidae. The record is from RNAcentral.
GUUCACGACCAGCUUGGCCAACAUGGGGAAACCCCGUCUCUACAAAAAUUCAAAAAUUAGCUAGACAUGAUGGCAGGGGCCUGUAAUCCCAGCUACUCGGGAGGCUGAGGCAGGAGAAUCACUUGAACCUGGGGGGCGGAGGUUGCAGUGAGCCGACAUAGCGCCAUUGCACUCCAGCCUGGGCGACAGAGUGAAACUCCAUCUCAGAAAAAAAAAAAAAAACGUGAGUUCAAGGAACCUGACCCUCACGCUGUCUUAUUUCCACCUUGGGCGUUUAUUUCCUUGUUUAUUUGUGUUUCUUUUCUCCUCCCCAGAAAGCUGACUUCAUGAGACCGAGGAUCUCGUUCGUUGAUCGAUGCUACAUAUUCAGCAUGUUAGAUAAUGAGGUUGGUGAGAUUGAUGAAAUCCCGCCCACCAGGGCCGACCCACAAAGAGCCACUUUAUGAAGAACAUGCUCCUGAACUCCACUCCACAACCAGCUUUUGAAAAGAAAAAUCUGAAAAAAUUUGACCUCAGUUAAACUGGUCCAAAUGCCUGAGCAUAACCAAAAUCUUUCCUCAUUCACUCUUCACGUGGACCGUGUUUAAUUUGGUUGCUGGUGAUCAUAUUUGUUUUAGUAAAGGCUGUCACUCUAUCUUGGGCGAAGAUUUGGGUUCUGU